GAGGAGCCCAGAGCCUGAAUCAGCAUGUGUGUUAGUGGAAGCGUCUGGAAAGGCGCGCGAUACAGGGUGACAGCCCCGUACACAAAAGCGCAUGUGCUGUGAGCUCGAUGAGUAGGGCGGGACACGUGGUAUCCUGUCUGAAUAUGGGGGGACCAUCCUCCAAGGCUAAAUACUCCUGACUGACCGAUAGUGAACCAGUACCGUGAGGGAAAGGCGAAAAGAACCCCGGCGAGGGGAGUGAAAAAGAACCUGAAACCGUGUACGUACAAGCAGUGGGAGCCUCUUUUAUGGGGUGACUGCGUACCUUUUGUAUAAUGGGUCAGCGACUUAUAUUCUGUAGCAAGGUUAACCGAAUAGGGGAGCCGGAGGGAAACCGAGUCUUAAUUGGGCGUUAAGUUGCAGGGUAUAGACCCGAAACCCGGUGAUCUAGCCAUGGGCAGGUUGAAGGUUGGGUAACACUAACUGGAGGACCGAACCGACUAAUGUUGAAAAAUUAGCGGAUGACCUGUGGCUGGGGGUGAAAGGCCAAUCAAACCGGGAGAUAGCUGGUUCUCCCCGAAAGCUAUUUAGGUAGCGCCUCGUGAAUUCAUCUCCGGGGGUAGAGCACUGUUUCGGCUAGGGGGCCAUCCCGGCUUACCAACCCGAUGCAAACUGCGAAUACCGGAGAAUGUUAUCACGGGAGACACACGGCGGGUGCUAACGUCCGUCGUGAAGAGGGAAACAACCCAGACCGCCAGCUAAGGUCCCAAAGUCAUGGUUAAGUGGGAAACGAUGUGGGAAGGCCCAGACAGCCAGGAUGUUGGCUUAGAAGCAGCCAUCAUUUAAAGAAAGCGUAAUAGCUCACUGGUCGAGUCGGCCUGCGCGGAAGAUGUAACGGGGCUAAACCAUG
This 889-nucleotide ribosomal RNA is filed under the name Salmonella enterica subsp. enterica serovar Braenderup. RNAcentral describes it as "partial 23S ribosomal RNA". It matches the Rfam family "Bacterial large subunit ribosomal RNA", at positions 292 to 1191 of the family's 2925-position model. Lineage: Bacteria; Pseudomonadati; Pseudomonadota; Gammaproteobacteria; Enterobacterales; Enterobacteriaceae. The record is from RNAcentral.